RNAcentral lists this ribosomal RNA (253 nucleotides) under uncultured bacterium. RNAcentral describes it as "partial 16S ribosomal RNA". It matches the Rfam family "Bacterial small subunit ribosomal RNA", at positions 524 to 776 of the family's 1533-position model. The record is from RNAcentral.
UACGUAGGGUGCGAGCGUUAAUCGGAAUUACUGGGCGUAAAGCGUGCGCAGGCGGUGCACCAAGCUCGAUGUGAAAGCCCCGGGCUUAACCUGGGAAUUGCAUUGAGGACUGGUGGGCUCGAGUGCGGCAGAGGGGGGUGGAAUUUCCGGUGUAGCGGUGAAAUGCGUAGAUAUCGGAAGGAACAUCAGUGGCGAAGGCGACUUCCUGGACCAAUACUGACGCUGAGGAGCGAAAGCCAGGGGAGCAAACGGG